Molecule: ribosomal RNA, 304 nt
Filed under: uncultured bacterium
Lineage: Bacteria
Description: partial 16S ribosomal RNA
Rfam family: Bacterial small subunit ribosomal RNA
Source: RNAcentral
CAGCAGCAGCCGCGGUAAUACGAAGGGGGCUAGCGUUGUUCGGAAUUACUGGGCGUAAAGGGCGCGUAGGCGGCCAUUCAAGUUAGAUGUGAAAGCCCUGGGCUCAACCUAGGAAUUGCAUUUGAUACUGUUUGGCUUGAGUUCGGGAGAGGUGAGUGGAAUUCCCAGUGUAGAGGUGAAAUUCGUAGAUAUUGGGAAGAACACCAGUGGCGAAGGCGGCUCACUGGACCGACACUGACGCUGAGGCGCGAAAGCGUGGGGAGCAAACAGGAUUAGAUACCCCAGUAGUCCCUGUCUCUUAUAC